This 106-nucleotide ribosomal RNA is filed under the name Epicoccum nigrum. RNAcentral describes it as "partial 28S ribosomal RNA". It matches the Rfam family "Eukaryotic large subunit ribosomal RNA", at positions 1 to 104 of the family's 3401-position model. The record is from RNAcentral. Lineage: Eukaryota; Fungi; Ascomycota; Dothideomycetes; Pleosporales; Didymellaceae.
CUUGACCUCGGAUCAGGUAGGGAUACCCGCUGAACUUAAGCAUAUCAAUAAGCGGAGGAAAAGAAACCAACAGGGAUUGCCCUAGUAACGGCGAGUGAAGCGGCAA